This 1223-nucleotide long non-coding RNA is filed under the name Cricetulus griseus (Chinese hamster). Its description in RNAcentral is "lncRNA (ENSCGRG00015031529.1)". The record is from RNAcentral. Lineage: Eukaryota; Metazoa; Chordata; Mammalia; Rodentia; Cricetidae.
UUUGAAACAUAAUCUUAUUUGGCAAUAUUUCAGUUUGUUGAGUCAUAAGCCUGACAAGUAGCUACAGCCCAUGAAGCAGCAUUUCCUUAGGGAGAGCGUGAGAGACGGAAGUGUGGCUUAGCUGGUUUGGACCAUGAUGCACUAUGCACUUCCACCUCAGCCUCAUUAUACAAGUUUCCUCUCUGCUCAGAUCAACCCCAGUUCCCAUGAUUUCGAUGCAAAGAUCAGACUUUCCAGACCACAUGCCAAGAUUCACCAUCAGGAAUACCUGGGUUUCCACUUUCUCCUGCUACAUUAAAGUGUCCACUCGGUGAAAUGAGAACAGCUGGUGGGAGUUAAUCCAUGAGCAGUCAGCCACUUCUUACAUGAUUGAUAACAGCAACUUGGGAAACAAAUUUCCCGUCUUUGAAAUUCCCAUCCCUUCAGGCUGGAGAGCUGGCUCCGGGGAGAGUGGGAGAGCUGUCCCUACCCCCUGCCCCCACUGGCUGCAAAUUAUGGGAGAGUGGACCCUGCACUUCGCCUGGACCGUACACUAGAGCCGAACCUGUUGGCAGGGGUGACGGGGAGCCAGCCCUGAGAGCAUGAGAUCAGGAGAAAUGACCCUGCCUCAUGUGGUGGCAUGGGUGAAGGAAAGAUGCCCCUUCCCUAACCGUUGCCACCUGCAUCAGGCGGAGAGCUGGCCGUGGGGACACAACUCCACCUCACCAACUGCAGCACUCAGGAGGGCAGGCUCUGCACCUGCUGGGGAAAAACAGUAGAGAAUGGCCCUGGUUGUGUCAAUGCCAGUGAGGCAGCCCCGAGAGUGUGGCAACAGGAGAACUGGCCCUCUUGCUUGUUGUCUGCUGAAGUGAAUGAGGUGACUGGGGCAGUGCUGGAGAGCUCACCCUAGUGGUGAACAUGUGAAGAGGCCGGGCCUGUAGAUUCAAGACUACAGGAUCUCUAUGAAACAAGGCAACAGCAGGAUGUCUCCCAGAGGAGUCCCAGUGAGGGCCUACUAUCAAGGGUGAAGCAGAUGCCAGAGGCCACAAACCAGACCAAUCAAUGACUCGUUGCAAUGCACACUUAAAGGAAAGACAAUGGGCCAGUACCCUGAAAACUAUCAAAGAGGACAUUAUGAGAAGCCCAGGCCUUGAUCAAGAAUUGCUGUCUAACUUCUCCUAGUCUGGUAGCCUUGCCUAUACUUCCUGCCUGACUAAUCCUGCCUGCCCGUUGGCUGAAACAGC